GACAACCAGCCUUGCUCACGAAGCGUCAGCCGUAUCCUUUCUGUGUGCAGUGGGGUGUGGGUUGUGUGGAGCCGCGGUGUCUGUGGAAUUCACAGGCUGGGGCCGGAAUCCAUGGCCCCCGUCGCCGCUGCCACCCCCCAGGUGCUGGGGUGACCUGAUCCAGGGUUGGGGUCUAAGCUGCUGGGGGGUUGGAGUCUUGGGCUCUGGCCCACGUCCGCCUCUGAUUGGUUCUACCACCUGAGCCGGUCACUGACCCUCCAUGGGCCUCAGCUUACCCUAUGGUAAAGUGAGAACUAGGGGGUCAGACUCCUUGAUCACCAAGAUCUCUGACCACAGCCAAGGCUAAGGGAAGCGCAGGAAAACGUGGGGCUCGUCCAAAUUCCCAGCCUCUCUCUGCCCCCUGGUGGACGCCGGCAGCCUAGCACCCGGGGGGAGAUGACCCCGACACUGUGUGACCUCUGCCAAGGCACCCAUCCCUCUGAGCCCCAGUUCCCACCGGUUACAUAGGAAUGAUUAUAAUACCCACCUCUUUGGGCAAUUGUGAGGAGGCAAGGAGAUAAUACAUGCAAAGUGCUUGGAUGGGAUGGGUACUAGCCACUCAACAGAAGGCAGAUCCUAGAAUGGGGAUGGCAAGUCCUGUCAUCAGUGAAGAAUGUAAUGACUGCAAGCUUAGAUGACAUGUCUGUUACUGGAAACCAGAGUUGUUUACUUAAGCUGUAAAUGAACUCAUAGUCCCUGGGAUAAUUAUCUCACCUCUGGAUAAAUAAACUCAACAGCCUUAUGUAUUUUAUUAAUUUUUCUUAAAAAAAAGCUUAAAAUAUUUUUCCUUUGAUUUGUUCUCUUUCUUUGGUUUCUGACUUUAUUAUGUCCUUUCUUUCUGCUUAGGCAUUUGUUUUAUUGCUCUUUUUUCACCAACUCAAACUGAAUGGUCACCUUAACAGUUUUAUUGAGAUCCAUUAUUUAUUCUUCUCCAUCUUGUUCUGUGUUCCUGGAAGCCAACCUUUAUAAGCUGCAGGAAAUGGAUUUCCUACUCUCCACCUUCUGAUUGGGCUUGACCAACGGGGAGCACUGGCAGAAGACAAGCAUGGGAGGAAAAAGAGAUCAGGGCUGGAGUGCAGUGGCGUGAUCUCGGCUAGCUACAACCUCCACCUCCCAGCCGCCUGCCUUGGCCUCCCAAAGUGCCGAGAUUGCAGCCUCUGCCUGGCCGCCACCCCGUCUGGGAAGUGAGGAGCGCCUCUGCCCGGCCGUGACCCCGUCUGGGAACUGAGGAGUGUCUCUGCCCGACCGCCACCCCAUCUGGGAGGCCCAGCAUCCAAUUCAGUCGCCUUCAAGGAGUCUCUUCAGUCUAAUUUAUUCUAGAACAAUUCUUCAGGCUUCCCUUCUCUGGCCAAGAUUUUUGAAAAAUACAGGUCAAUGACUUUGUAGGUUGUCUUCAGUUUGGAUUUGUCUGCUGUGUCCUCAUGAUUUAUGCAUCUCUGGCAGGAAUACCACAGAAACGAUGCGACAUUCUUCUCAGUGUACCAUAUUAGGAGUCACACAAUGUCAACUUGUCCCAUUACUGCUGAUGUUAAUGUUUACCACUUGGCUAAGAUGAUGUCUGCCAGGUUUCUCCACUGGAAAGUUAACAGUAUUUAGUACGUGUUAAGUGAUGAGUAAUGAAUAAAUAUUUCAUAGGGA
Molecule: long non-coding RNA, 1677 nt
Filed under: Homo sapiens (human)
Lineage: Eukaryota; Metazoa; Chordata; Mammalia; Primates; Hominidae
Description: uncharacterized LOC130932201, transcript variant 4 (LOC130932201)
Source: RNAcentral